AGCAGGGGAUCUCCAUGUCAGCCCGAAGGGGACCUUUGGCCAAUGGCAUCAUGUCCCGGUUACCAGAGGAUGUCGAGCAUCAUACUUUGUUUGCAGCAGAUAUAUGAUCUACCAAGAUCAUAUAUUUUCUCAGUAGAGCUUCAUGGCAUCUUUGAGAGCACUAAAAAUGACAAAACUAUAUUUGAAAAUGACCUGCACCAGUCCCUUGCCUGAGCCACAUGGAGUGUACCCUGAAAGAUCUCUACACACUGUUUGAGGGGGCAUAAGUGCUUUUUUUCCUGUUAGCGCUGCAUGUGAAUGAAUAUCAUCAAAAAGCCAAAAGUUCGAGAGUGGAUCUUGGGAAAUACCUGGAGUAAAAAUAAAAGUGGAGAAAGAAAAGGAAGAAAUAGUCAAAAGCAUGAAAGAAAAACAGCCCAAGAAGCUAUGGAAAGAGCUGAAGGCCUCAAAUAUGAAAGUUGGAACAGAUGAAAGAAAAGCUGAGGAAUUGUCCCAGACUGAAGGCCAUUAAAGAGAUGAUUCCCAAAUGCAAUGCUGAGCUUUUGACUGGGCCCUGGACCAGAAGAACUGACAUUCAUGUGACAACUAGAAGAAAUCUGAACAAGGAAGACUUCUGUGAUGGGUGUCUGCACGUUUCAAUGUUCCUACAAUUUCCUAGGGUCCCUGCUACAUGGGGACAGAGCAAAGUUUCCUACUAGUGAAAAGUUUCCUACUAUAAUAAGAACAGUUGCCCAUCAGUGCUUCAUUUAACUAUUAAUUUAAAAUCUACUUUCCUGACUUGAUUGGAGAC
Long non-coding RNA from Fukomys damarensis (Damara mole-rat), 787 nucleotides. RefSeq lists it as uncharacterized. The record is from RefSeq and is a predicted model, not a curated record. NCBI's taxonomy places the organism in Eukaryota, Metazoa, Chordata, Mammalia, Rodentia, Bathyergidae. The transcript is spliced from 5 exons.